AAGGAUAAACUAAGUAACAGAGGGCGCUAAAAAGCGACUUGAUUUUAGGGACUGACCAAGAAAUCCUGAUUUCUUAGGGCAGUCAUCUAAAUCACAAGCUUUUAGCCCGAGUACAAUUUAGCCAAAGUGGUUAAUAGAAGUACCUGAAGCUUAGUACCGGAAGCACGUUUUGGGGACGCUAUUUAGUUUUCAGAGGUUUUGUGGGGCCUUAGCUCAGCUGGGAGAGCGCCUGCUUUGCACGCAGGAGGUCAGCGGUUCGAUCCCGCUAGGCUCCAUUAGGAUACGGAGGACGAUUCGCUUUAGCGAAAACUUCUGUAGAAAAAUAGGAAACUGACGCCAGUGUCCUUAAGGACACGAGGAAGUUUCUCUUUUUUCCUAAGAAGUUAGUCCGGAGUUCAACUAUUCUCAAAGAGCAGUGACCCCUUAUCCUAAGARGCAACGAAGUUGCCAAUUGUUCAUUGAAAAUUGAAUAUCUAUCAAAUAGUAACAAGAAAAUAAACCGAAACGCUGUUAUAUUUUAAAGAGACCAAAGAGAAAU
RNAcentral lists this transfer RNA (538 nucleotides) under Streptococcus downei. RNAcentral describes it as "16S-23S ribosomal RNA intergenic spacer". The stretch from base 203 to 275 matches the Rfam family "tRNA". The record is from RNAcentral. Lineage: Bacteria; Bacillati; Bacillota; Bacilli; Lactobacillales; Streptococcaceae.